UUAAGGAAAAAAGGGCGCACAGUGGAUGCCUAGGCACUAGAAGGCGAAGAAGGACGCAACUAACGGCGAAACGCUACGGGUAGCAGUAAGUAAGCAAUGAUCCGUAGAUAUCCGAAUGAGGCAACUCACCAUGAAGAAGACAUGGUAUACCGAAAGGUAGGCAAGACCCAGCGAAUUGAAAUAUCUUAGUAGCUGGAGGAAAAGAAAGCAAAAGCGAUUUUCUCAGUAGCGACGAGCGAAAGGGAAGGAACCCAAAUUCACGGCAUAUGAAAUUUUUGAUAAAUGAACCACUCUGGGAAGGUGGACCGAAGAAGGUGAAAGUCCUGUAAUUGAAAUCAAGAAUGGAAUUAGUGAGAAAGAGUACGGCGAGACACGAGAAAUCUUGUCGGAAGAAGCGAGGACCAUCUCGUAAGGUUAAAUACUAGCUAGUGACCGAUAGCGAACCAGUACCGUGAGGGAAAGGUGAAAAGAACCCCGGGAGGGGAGUGAAAGAGAACCUGAAACUGUGUGCUUACAAGUAGUCAGAGGACGUUAAAGUCUGAUGGCGUGCCUUUUGUAGAAUGAACCGGCGAGUUACGGUAUUUAGCAAGGUUAAGUCUAAAGGGACGGAGCCGAAGCGAAAGCGAGUCUUAAUAGGGCGGUAAGUUGAAUGCUGUAGACCCGAAACCCGGCGAGCUAGCCAUGAGCAGGUUGAAGUUUGAGUAAAAUCAAAUGGAGGACCGAACUAGGGCCUGUUGAAAAAGGCUUGGAUGACUUGUGGCUAGGGGUGAAAUUCCAAUCGAGCUGGGAUAUAGCUGGUUCUCCCCGAAAUAACUUUAGGGCUAGCGUUAAACAAGAGUUUUAUGAAGGUAGAGCACUGAAUAGUAGAUGGUCCCACCUCGGGAUACUGACAUUAAUCAAACUCCGAAUGUCAUAAAACGCGUUUAGCAGUCAGACUGCGAGUGAUAAGGUCCGUGGUCAAAAGGAAAAGAGUCCAGACCGCCAAAUAAGGUCCCAAAAUAUAUGCUAAGUGGAGAAGGAUGUAGAGAUGCCUAAACAACUAGGAUGUUGGCUUAGAAGCAGCCAUCAUUUAAAGAGUGCGUAAUAGCUCACUAGUCGAGUGACUCCGCGCCGAAAAUGUACCGGGGCUAAGCAUAUUACCGAAUUUGCGGAUUCGAUACGAAAGUAUUGAGUGGUAGGGGAGCGUUCCAUAAUGGGAAGAAGCAAGAUCGAGAGGACUUGUGGACUAUAUGGAAGUGAGAAUGCCGGUGUGAGUAACGAAAAGACAGGUGAGAAUCCUGUCCGUCAAAAACCCAAGGUUUCCAGGGGAAGGGUCGUCCGCCCUGGGUAAGUCUGGGCCUAAGGUGAGGCCGAGAGGCGUAGCUGAUGGAUAUCUGGUGUAUAUUCCAGAACUAGUAUAAUGACUGAUGGAGUGACGAAGAAGGCUAGGAUCCGAUUCUUAGUGGAUUGAAUACGAGAUAUCAAGAGGGGAUGUAGGCAAAUCCGCAUCUAGAAAUCAAGAUAUGACAGGUAAAGGAUAACGAAGUCAAGCUUCCAAGAAAAGCUUCUAGGGUUAAUCAUUAUACUACCAGUACCGUAAACCGACACAGGUGGGUAGGAAGAGAAUUCUAAGACGCGCGAGAAAACCCUUGUUAAGGAACUCUGCAAGUUGGCCCCGUAAGUUCGCAAUAAGGGGAGCUCAUGUAAAAGUGAGCCACAGAAAAGAAGCCCAAGCAACUGUUUAACAAAAACACAGGUUUAUGCAAAACCGUAAGGUGAAGUAUAUGAGCUGACACCUGCCCGGUGCUGGAAGGUUAAAAGGAGAGGUUAGAGCAAUCGAAGCCUUGAAUUGAAGCCCCAGUAAACGGCGGCCGUAACUAUAACGGUCCUAAGGUAGCGAAAUUCCUUGUCAGGUAAGUUCUGACCCGCACGAAAGGUGUAAUGUCUUUGGGCACUGUCUCAACAGGGGACUCGGUGAAAUCAAACUGCCGGUGAAAAUGCCGGCUACCCGCGAUUAGACGGAAAGACCCCAUGGAGCUUUACUGUAGGUUGAUAUUGAUAUUUGGUAUGUAAUGUACAGGAUAGGUGGGAGACUAUGAAGCUAGGACGUUAGUCUUGGUGGAGUCGACGUUGGGAUACCACCCUUUGCCUAUCGAGUAUCUAACUAGUGUAAGUGGAUUACAAAGGACAGUGUCAGUUGGGCAGUUUGACUGGGGCGGUCGCCUCCUAAAGAGUAACG
Molecule: ribosomal RNA, 2218 nt
Filed under: human gut metagenome
Description: bacterial LSU rRNA
Rfam family: Bacterial large subunit ribosomal RNA
Source: RNAcentral